UAGAUGUUUCUAGGGUUUUAC
Molecule: non-coding RNA, 21 nt
Filed under: Arabidopsis thaliana (thale cress)
Lineage: Eukaryota; Viridiplantae; Streptophyta; Magnoliopsida; Brassicales; Brassicaceae
Source: RNAcentral